GGGACCAGGGAGAGAAAGAAGCUUCUCUCCUGGGCCCAUGGCCCCCUGGCCUUCCCCGGGGACAGGCCCGGAGACGUUGUGAAAUCUUCUCACCCCCAAGCGGUGGCUGGGAAGCUUCAAAUGUUUUUUUAGGCCUUUCCAGCAUAAAAGCAAAAAUUGAUGAGUUUCAGUGGCAUAAGCUCUGAGGCACAAAGGAAAAACCCCCAAGGUGGUGGGUGUGAGGAGGAAACUUUUUAUUGUCUUGCUGUGGAUUUUUUUCUUUCAUUUUUCUUUUCUUUUCCUUUGCUAGUCUCUUUAUUAAGUCAAGAUGUUAUAUGAAGGCACCAGUUAAAUAUUACAGGCAAGCUUCUUAAAGGAACCCUUUCCUCCUCUGUUACAGAUGGGUCUCUAGUUUGGCCGUGUUCCUAUCUCCAUUCCUCUUCCUCUCUUCUCCCUCCUCCCAAGUCUUCUCUCACCUUUUUUUUUUUCCCCCAGGGGAAACAUAAGGAAACACUUCAAUGACAAAUUCUAAGAAGGUCAUACCUUACCUUCCAAGAACUUUAGCUACUGAUCCUGCGGCUUCACAAGCAUACCCUCCUUUUACUGGGAAAGUCUUUGCGCGAGGAAUUUCAAGCUUGGUUCAAGGAGUUCCCACACUGGAGAAGAUGGUCCCAUCAAUCCAGGUAACUUGGUAUUUGGGGAUCUUCUCCCCAGAGGUGCUCCCUCCCGCCAGCACAUUUCCUUAUCACCGCCUGUAGUGAAUGUAACACCCAGGCAUCUCCCCAGACCUCACCGUUAACCCACCUUCAGCAGUGAAAUAUCAGAUGCUGUGCCUGAUGCUAUGGAGAUUUUUUUUUUUAGUAUAAAGAUAAUUCCUGACCUCAUUUGACUACAUUUUAGACGCCAUGUACGUCCAUAUCUUAUAUCCAUCUUACGAGCCAUUCAACGUUGUGUAACUCUCUUCAGAGCUAUAUUGUAGUUAGAAUUCUGUUUUCAUUCAUUCAUUACUUAACUUACUUAUUUUCUAAUGAUGCUUAUUUUUAUGUUUAUUUACUUUUUAAGGCAACACCUUCAGCAUAUGGAAGUUCCCAGGCUAGGGGUCAAAUCGGAGCUACAGCUGCCAGCCUACACCACAGCCACAGCAAUGCCAGAUCUGAGCUGCAUCUGAGACCUACACCUAUACUGGAUCCUUAACCCACUGAAUGAGGCCAGGGAUUGAACCCACAUCCUCGUGGUUACUAGUCAGGUUCUUAACCUACUGAACCACUAAGGGAACUCCCUUACUUAUUUACUAUUGAAGAUGUACAAAAUGCCAGGCACUGCUUCUAGGGGCUAGGAAUCAGUGGUG
RNAcentral lists this long non-coding RNA (1327 nucleotides) under Sus scrofa (pig). RNAcentral describes it as "lncRNA (ENSSSCG00065010676.1)". Lineage: Eukaryota; Metazoa; Chordata; Mammalia; Artiodactyla; Suidae. The record is from RNAcentral.